Molecule: ribosomal RNA, 376 nt
Filed under: Nematoda sp.
Lineage: Eukaryota; Metazoa; Nematoda
Description: SSU rRNA
Rfam family: Eukaryotic small subunit ribosomal RNA
Source: RNAcentral
CUGAAAACUGAGCAGAUCGCUUCGGUCCUAGUACCGGCGACAUAUCUUUCAAGUGUCUGCCUUAUCAACUUUCGAUGGUAGUUUAUGUGACUACCAUGGUUGUAACGGGUAACGGAGAAUAAGGGUUCGACUCCGGAGAGGGAGCCUGAGAAACGGCUACCACUUCUAAGGAAGGCAGCAGGCGCGCAAAUUACCCACUCUCGGCACGAGGAGGUAGUGACGAAAAAUAACGAGACGGGUCUCUUACGAGGUCCGACAUCGGAAUGAGAACAAUGUAAACCCUUUAACGAGGACCUAGCGGAGGGCAAGUCUGGUGCCAGCAGCCGCGGUAAUUCCAGCUCCGCCAGUGUAUAUCUAUGCUGCUGCGGUUAAAAAG